AACGCACAUUGCGCCUAUUAGUAUUCUAGUAGGCAUGCCUGUUCGAGCGUCAUUACAAUACUCAGACAUAUUUCUGAAGUUGAAACAUAUGGCACCAUAGUUUCUAAAUACAAUAACGGAUAUAAUGAUAAAGCCGAGUGUAGUACUAUCUUCGCUAAGGUUUUUCGUUAGUUUCGUAAAACUCCAAAACAUGUUGACCUCGAAUCAGGUAGGAAUACCCGCUGAACUUAA
This 231-nucleotide unclassified non-coding RNA is filed under the name uncultured Ascomycota. RNAcentral's name for it is "sequence contains ITS2". The record is from RNAcentral. Lineage: Eukaryota; Fungi; Ascomycota.